RNAcentral lists this ribosomal RNA (1081 nucleotides) under Dicranoloma eucamptodontoides. RNAcentral describes it as "eukaryotic LSU rRNA". It matches the Rfam family "Eukaryotic large subunit ribosomal RNA", at positions 56 to 1134 of the family's 3401-position model. Lineage: Eukaryota; Viridiplantae; Streptophyta; Bryopsida; Dicranales; Dicranaceae. The record is from RNAcentral.
AAGAAAUAACCAGGAUUUCCCUAGUAACGGCGAGCGAACCGGAAAGAGCCCAGCUUGAGAAUCGUGGCGCUUCGCACCUCGAAUUGUAGUCUGGAGAUGCAUCCUCUGCCGCGCACCAGACCCAAGUUCCCUGGAAAGGGACGUCAGAGAGGGUGACAACCCCGUCGAGUCUGGACCGUGUUGCUCCACGAGGUGCAGUCUGCGAGUCGGGCUGUUUGGGAAUGCAGCCCUAAGUGGGUGGUAAAUUCCAUCCAAGGCUAAAUACUGGCAAGAGACCGAUAGCGAACAAGUACCGCGAGGGAAAGAUGAAAAGGACUUUGAAAAGAGAGUUAAAAAGUGCUUGAAAUUGCUGGGAGGGAAGCGAAUGGAAGCUGCGGGUGCGUCCCGGUUGGAUGUGGAACGGCCUUGCGCUGGUCCGCCGCUCAACGCGGGGCACUGGUCAGCGUGGGCCAUCGCGGCGGGACAAGAGCGGGGUGUAGUUCCCCGCCUAUGCCGUUGCGGUGGCCGAGGAGCGAAGCGCGCGCCUUUUCUCCUGGCGUCCCCCUCCGGGGGGAACUGCGCGCUCGGGACGCUGGCGUAUUGAGCUCUUCAUCCGACCCGUCUUGAAACACGGACCAAGGAGUCUAACAUGUAUGCGAGCCGGUGGGCGGCAAACCCAUUGAGGCGCAAGGAAACUGACAGGUGGGACCCCGUCGAAGGGAGCACCAUCGACCGACCGUGAUCUUCUGUGAAAGGUUUGAGUGUGAGCAUACCUGUUGGGACCCGAAAGAUGGUGAACUAUGCCUGAGCAGGGCGAAGCCAGAGGAAACUCUGGUGGAGGCUCGUAGCGAUACUGACGUGCAAAUCGUUCGUCAGACUUGGGUAUAGGGGCGAAAGACUAAUCGAACCAUCUAGUAGCUGGUUCCCUCCGAAGUUUCCCUCAGGAUAGCUGGAGCUCGUGUAAGAGUUUUAUCAGGUAAAGCGAAUGAUUAGAGGCAUCGGGGGUGUAACACCCUCGACCUAUUCUCAAACUUUAAAUAGGUAAGCCGCCGGGGUUGCUUGGUUGAACCCCGGCACAGAAUGAGAGCUCCAAGUGGGCCAU